This 408-nucleotide ribosomal RNA is filed under the name uncultured bacterium. RNAcentral describes it as "partial 16S ribosomal RNA". It matches the Rfam family "Bacterial small subunit ribosomal RNA", at positions 28 to 526 of the family's 1533-position model. The record is from RNAcentral.
GACGAACGCUGGAGGCGUGCUUAACACAUGCAAGUCGAACGCAGUGGCGAACGGGUGAGUAAUACGUGAGUAACCUGCCCUCCUUUUUGGGAUAAGCCUUUGAAACGGGGUCUAAUACCGAAUAAAGGGGGAUGGGCUCGCGGCCUAUCGGCUUGUUGGUGGGGUGAUGGGCUACCAAGGCGGUGACGGGUAGCCGGCCUGAGUGGGUGAGGGGGUGAAUAGGGAGGGAGGGAGGGGCCAGACUGCUACGGGAGGGAGCGGUGGGGGAGAUUGAGCAAUGGGCGAAAGACGGGUGCGGUGACGCGGAGUGGGGGCUGAAGGCUGUCGGGUGGUAAACGUCGUGCGCUAGCGAACGGGUAGGUGGAGGAGAAGCGCCGGCGAAGUACGUGCCAGCAGCCGCGGUAGUAC